This is a long non-coding RNA of Neofelis nebulosa (Clouded leopard), 1082 nucleotides long. RefSeq lists it as uncharacterized. The transcript is spliced from 5 exons. The record is from RefSeq and is a predicted model, not a curated record. NCBI's taxonomy places the organism in Eukaryota, Metazoa, Chordata, Mammalia, Carnivora, Felidae.
AGCUAUUCUGCCACUCUUCCGACAUUCACUUCUUCUCCUAUAUCUGAAGAAUGUUUAAGUCUCAUGGUUUCUUACUUUGAUGUGAUUUUGGCGUCUGUCCCUUCUUUGAAAUUUGAUUGUCAUGUUACCCCCAUUUAGUUCAGACUAUCACUUCCCAGAUGGCUGCAGUGUUAACCUUUUAACCAGUCUCCCCGAUUCCCUUUUUUCAGUCUCUGUAGUGGACCUAUAAAUUAUUUUUCUCUGAAACACAUGGAUGCCAUACAUUUCUUCUGCUCAAAAAACCUAGAAUUUUUCCAUUUGCCUUCCAGAUAAAACCUUGUUUUUGUUACCGUGGUAUAUUAGAUUCUUGUUCAGAAGUAUUCACACCUCCUCCCUUGACUUUGCUCUGAUCUCACCCUAGACUUGUUUUGACCUCAUGCUGGGCAGAGAGUACUUGUGACCCCUUGAUGUUUGACUUGGACAUGUGACUUACUUUGGCAAUAGAAUCAUGGCAGACACAAUGCAAAUAGAAGCAUGGAACGCACUUAGGUUACUGGGUUUGCCUAAUUGCGUUUCUGCCACUCCCAUGAGAGGCACAUCGUCCACCUAAACUGCUGAUCCAGGGAAGAUGAGAAAUGUGGAGCAUAUGUGAGCCCAGCACAGAGCAGAGCCCCACCCUGCCAGAUCUGCAGCUUGAAGCAGAGCUACCUACCUGUGCCCACUCCAGAUCAGCCAACACUCACCCAACCCAGUGAGAAAGAAAGGCCAUAUGAAAACACAACGGAAAGACAGCUGUCUACAAGCCAACAAGAGAGGUCUCAUUAGAAACCAACCCUGAUGUCACUCUGAUCUUGCACUGCUAGCCUCGGGAACUAAGAGAAACCCAAACACAGCAGCCCAAGGAUAUGUCAGAGGCAUAUACUUAUGUUUUCCCAUCUAUCAAAUCAGGCUGUCCAGGUGGUUUGCUGCUCUGUGGUGCUGAGGAUUCAGAGAUGAAUCAGGCUUGACCUCAAAGACACAGAUCACUAGGCAUCCAUUUUCAAGACUGUAUGAUGAAGCCAUCUUGUGGGACACCUGGGCAACUUGACUUCCCUGUGUGAUGG